UCCCCGUUAUCCGGGGCGGUUUCACUAGAGUGCCCAGCUUGACCUGAUGGCAACUAGGGAUAAGGGUUGCGCUCGUUGCGGGACUUAACCCAACAUCUCACGACACGAGCUGACGACAGCCAUGCAGCACCUGUGCAAGCUCCCCUUGCGGGGUCGUCCCACUUUCAUGGUUCUACAACUUGCAUGUCAAGGCCAGGUAAGGUUCUUCGCGUUGCAUCGAAUUGAGCCACAUACUCCACCGCUUGUGCAGGCCCCCGUCAAUUUCUUUGAGUUUUAAUCUUGCGACCGUACUCCCCAGGCGGCACGUUUAUCGCGUUAGCUACGCCACGAAAGGGGUCGAUUCCUCUCACAGCAAACGUGCACCGUUUACAGCUAGGACUAC
RNAcentral lists this unclassified non-coding RNA (382 nucleotides) under uncultured Verrucomicrobiae bacterium. RNAcentral describes it as "contains 16S-23S intergenic spacer region". The record is from RNAcentral. Lineage: Bacteria; Pseudomonadati; Verrucomicrobiota; Verrucomicrobiia.